CACAUUCGUAUAUAUAAUCCCUCCUAUCUUUUUUUCCUAGUUUUUCCUUUUGCUUUGAAAACCAUACACUUCUCCAGCAUACUGUUACUACUACUUAAAAAGUAUCUUAGCCAUUUCUUUUUUUAACUUUUAACUUUUAAAUUCAGGGGUACAAGCUCAGGAUUUUUACUUAGGUAAACAUGUCAUGGGGGUUUGUUGUACAGAUUAUUUCAUCACCCAGGUAUUAACCCUAGUACCCAUUAGUUGUUUGUUUCCCAAUCCUCUCCCUCCUCCCAUCCUCCACCCUCUGAAAGGUCCCAGUGUGUGUUGUUCCCCUCUGUGUGUCCAUGUGUUCUCAUCAUUUAGCUCGCACUUAUAAAUGACAACAUGCAGUAUUUGGUUUUCUGUUCCUGCGUUAGUUUGCUAAGGAUAAUGGCCAUUAUCUUAGCCAUUUGAAAAUAAUGAUUUAACCUCUCUCACCUUCAUUGUCAUUUUAGAAGAAACUACCAUUUGGUGUCCUGCUGAGACAAGGUAUGUAGUUCGCUUUUAUUUUUCUUUCUUUAUGUACAUGUUUCCACUGUUUCCUGUUAUUUAUGACUUAAUGACAUUUCAGAACUUUAAUACACUAAUAUCCAUAAAUCUCUUCCUUUUUCCUUAGAAAAUAUUUUCACAACUCAAGACAAGUUAAAUAUCCACUUAUGGGAACAGUGCUGAAGGCCUGGACUAGGAUGGUAGCAAUGGAGACAGACUAAAGGUCAGCAUAACAGUCAACAUUAAGGGGGUUGAAUCAACAGCACAUAGUACCUGAUUGGAAAUACAGAGUAAAUUACAGUGAGAAGUGAGUUGCUGUCCAGAUUUCUAUCUUGGAUAUGUAGACAGAUGAUGGUCAGCAAGCAAGAAAACAGGCAGAACAAUUUUAGAAACUAAGAAAAUGUAUUUCCAAUGGAACUAAUUAAAUCAGAGUCUGUAAAUAGCAUUGUAAGAUAUAGGAGGCUGAUAUGGUUUGGAUUUGUGUCCCUGCCUAAAUCUCAUGUCAAAUUAUAUCUCCAAUGUUGGAGAAGAGGCCUAGUGGGGGGUAAUUGGAUCAUGGAGCUGGAUUUUCCCUUUGCUGUUCUCAUGACAGUGGGUUCUCAUGAGAUCUGGUUGUUUAAAAGUGUGUAGCACCUCCCCCUUCUGUCUUUUCCUCCUGCUCUGACCAUGCAAGAUGUGACUGCUUCUCCUUUCACCAUGAUUGAAAGUUUCCUGAGGCGCCCCCAGCCAUGCUUUCUGUACAGCCCAUGGAACUGUCAGCCAAUUAAACCUCUUUUUAAAAUAAAUUACCCUGUUUCAGAUAUUUAUCAGUGCAUGAACGGACUAAUACAGAGGCAGAAGCACAUCUGCAGGCAGAAAUGGGGAAAAAAAUAAUAUCAGAAGAAAGGAUAAGAGGAAGAGCUUAAGAAUAAGUAUGUGCAAAUUUUAGUUGAUGCUGGACUGGGGAGAGGUGCUAAUGGAUUCAGAUCCUGGGGGAAUCUGGACAAGGAUAUGGUCCAGAGAUCAAUGGGAGGAGAAGAAAAUUAAUAAACUUGACUUAAGGACUAGCCUCUAAGUUGAGAAAUGUAAUGUUUAUGCUAAUAUUUUUACAGAAAAAGGUGUUAUCAUUCUCAGUUUUGCAACCUGAUUCAGAGAAGCUAAGCCAUAGACCCCAAGCCACAUGGACUACAUGGUGGCAUCUAUUUAAAUUCAUAUUUAUUUGUUCUUAGCACUUUUGUUGUGGUCGCUAUGCUACCUCUAAGUAGGACUUUGACUUCCUACAAAAUUCACUGUUACACAUCCAGGUAGAUGUGAAUACAUGCUGCAGUAAUGUCUGUCACCCAUAGUCACUGCAGGGGAAGUUGGCAUCACAGCACUGACGAUAUGCCUACUAUCUUUAGGUUAAAGUGGAUACGUUAUCAUUACCCUAUGCAAAAGAAUCUGAUCAUUGCCCUGAAGAUAAUUUUGUUAUCUCACAUUGCAUAUGUGAUCAUUACCCUGAGGGCAGAGAUGCAAUCAUUGGCCUAUAGGAAUACUUAUCAUUAUGGCUUGGCAAGUGGAAAAGUGAUAAUUAACUUGCACGAAUAGAUGGGAUCAUUGCACUACAGAUAGAUCUGUUAUUGCAUUUCCUGAAGAAAUGCAAUCUCUAGUGUGCAAAAGACAAUGUGUUAUCUACAUUUAUGGUAGAGAUAUGCUCCUUAUAUUGCCCAUAAUGAUGAUAUCAAUUGCAUUUCAGGUGGAAAUUAGGAUUGUUGCAUUGCUGAUAACCUUGUUAUAAUUACGUUACAGAAAGAGAUGCAAUCAUUCCCUUGCAUAUGGUCCGUAUGAAGACGGGAUCAUUACAGGAAAGGUGAAGGAGAUACAGUCAUUAUGCUCUAUAUACACCCAUUUUUAUGGCUAGCGGCUGAAGAUGGGAUGCUUUCUUUGCUGGAAGACCUAUUACCUGUUAGGUUGCAAAAGAUGUGAUCAUCUUCCUAAACAAUAAUUUAGAGUCCCAUAACAAUUUUAAGUGUGCUGUUCAUGAAAAUUUGAAUACAUUGUAUUGGGAAUAUAAUGGAAGUGAGAUGCCUCAUGUCGUGAGAAAAUCUGACAUAAACUCCUUAAGCAUGAGAGGCCAUGUGGGUAUGGAAGCCCUGAAAGGGAGGAAAAAACAGCCAGACCCUAGCUGUUCCAGUCAUCCCAACUGAGGUGCCAGACUUGUGAUUGAGGCCAUCUUGCAUCAUCUAGGCCUAGUAGAGCUGCCAACUGACUGCAGACACAUGAGUCAAUCCAGCUAAUGCCACAUGGAGCAGAGACAAGCCGCCCAGCUGAGCCCAGUCCAGAUGACAGAAUCAUGAGCAAAUAAGGUUGUUGUUCUUUUAAGCCACUAAAUUUUCGGGUGAUUUGUUACACAGUAAUAAAUAACUGAAACAACUAUGUACAGUUUAAUGAUCUGAAAUCAAUCCAUAGUGUUAUGAUAGCCUUUUUAACAAAAUUGAAAUGAUAACUUAUUCAUUUACAAUGCAAAUCAAUUUAAUGGCAAUAGUUACAACUGCCCUGAAAUGAUCUAAAGCCUCAUGAAGUUGAUUUAAUAUCUAGCUACCCAACAUACUUAAUCACAUGUUCACAGUUGAUGAAUAGUGACUGAAUCUCCAUGAGCAAGAUAAUAGUAAAGCUCUUUUUUUCUCUUUCUCUUUUUUUCCAGAUGAAUAAUUUUACAUUUACACUGAUAAAAAGUUAAAGUUGCAGCUCUGUUUUCACACUACCUGAGGGAUCUUUGUAGAUUACAUAAACCCUAAGCCUCCUGUGUAAGUUAAGGAAAAAAAUUCCAAACUCACAGUGUUAUCGAGAGGAUUAAAUAACAUAAUUUAUGCAAAGUCUUAACCAUAGUUGCUAGCAUUUAAACUUUAACUUUUGUCCAUGUCUCUAAUGUAAUUUAAAAUGAUCUUACUCUUUAAGGUUUGAUCUAAUAGAAUAUUUGUCAGACACAAAGACCAAGAUUUGUCCCAGUUGAUGAACCCUGGGUAUAACUCAAUAGCAUAUUGGCAGUUUUUAUUUUCUGUUAAGUCUGGAUCCAUUCAAUUAGUGAUUUAUUUCUUAAUUUGUCAAACAUUACAUUAACAAAGUAACAACUUUUCUAUCCAUAUUAUAUUGUGGUUACAAAAAAUGGAUCAAUUAUAUUUGAAUUAAAAAAUUUAAUUGCCACCAAAGAAGAGAAAAAUAACUAGAGAAAAAUAAAAGAGAUGUGUCAAGAAGGAAUAAAGAGGCUGAUAACAUGAGAUCUCUUCUAGCUUUGAAACAUGUCUUGUGAAAUGACUAAAAUUUUAAAAGCUAGGAUCAAGUAUUGGUGAGGAGAUGAAGUAAUUCUAAGUCUCAUCCAUUGCUAAUGGGGUAUACAUUGGUUUAACCAGUUUGGAGGACUGUUUGGUAAUGUCCAAAUAUUUAUUAAAGUUAAACCUACUCCUAAGUCUUAUAGCCCAGAAAUUUCAAACCUAGGUAAAUACCUAAGAGAAAUAAGAGUACAUGUCUUCCAAAAGAUCUAUACAAGAAUGUGUAUAGCAGCCAUAGUCAUAACUCCCUAAAACUGGAAAUGACCCAAAUGUCCAUAAAAAGGGAAAUGGAUACAUGUAUCAUUACAUAUUUAUCUAAUGAAUUGCUAUGUCGCUGUAAGAAUGAGCAACCCACUGAUACAUGCCACAGUAUCAUGAAUCACAUAGACAGUAUGCUGCCUGAAAUAAGCCAAAAUAAAAAAUGUCUUAUUUCACUUAUAUGAAGUUCUAGAAUAUGUAAACGUGAUUUAUGAUGACAGAAAUUAAAAUAGCAGUUCCCUUUGCAUAGGGGGAGCGUAUUCAUUACGGAAGUGUAUGAUAAAACAUUGUACAUUGGUGGAAUGUUCUAUAUCUUCACUUGAGUGUUUACCAGGAUAUAUGUCCACAAAAAAGUUAGGAAUCCAUACUUAAGAUUUGUGCCCUUUAUAAUAUGUGUGUUAUACAGCCACUGAAAAUAAAUUGAUAGAUAAAAAGUAAUGUCUUCUAGGUUCCAUAUGGAGAGGACUGAUGAAGCCAGCAUUAGGCGUGAUGGGGACGUGCAUAAAUGUGUAUGUUAUCCACUGAGACACAGAUUCUGAAGCACCAGAACAUUAAAGGCACUUCUACUUGUUUCUUCUACCCAGCUGAAAGGACAGAAAGCUUCUUCCACAGAGCCAGGACAGUCCAGGGGAACGUAGUCCUUCGACUGAAAGCUAUGCUUCCUAUUUUCUAACAAAGAGGCUAGGUCAUGUUGACCACCCAGUUUUGGCCUGCCUGGCUUGCUUUUUAUUCCAGCCUGGAGGACUUUCAGGGUUGAAUAUCCACUCAAGCCAAAUCCCAAGAAGCAUAACCUGCUAUUAGACUCUUGUCACUUAUCGGGUGAGGGGCUGUGCGGCUGUUCCAGUGCUUCCCCACUUGGGUCUUGUGACAUACCCUGGGGCCAAGCCAAGCCCUGGAGGUUAGCUUCUACAGUCUGUCCUUAAAGAGAGCUCAGGGAUGUCUGGACAGGACCUGGAGACAGUGCCCUGGGCCAGAGACCUCUGAUCUCUAGGCCAGCAGAGUCACCAUGCAGACAGAUUUAUGAGCCUUAGGCAAAACAGCUGGCAUUCCUGUGGCCAUCUUUCUACCCCUUCCUUUCCACAUGACCAUAUCCUUGGCCAGAUCUUCAUGUCCUUAGAUGGCUGUUGCCUUUGGGUAAAUUGGCAAUUAAGAUAAAUGAGCAUAUUUAUCAUGGCCUUGUGGUUACCCCUCCUGAAGCUCUCAGGGUGGCAAGCUGCCUGACCCUCCUACUAUGAACUUAGUAACUUUAAAACAGAGAGUAUCUUUUCUUGCCCAGCUGAAAUUUCCUCCCCAGGCGACCUACUUUUAGGAUUAAUAUGCGGGAAAGUCUGCAGUUUUGUUUUCAGUGAGGGUAGUUGUGUUUUCAAGGAAAGAGGUAGCGCCUUACAGUCAGAUUAGCCAGCUUUAUUUCUUUCAUCAACCCUUUACUGGCUUUCUAAAUUUUUUCAAGUAACUUCACCUCUCUGAGUUUCAUUUACCUCAUUACCUUCAUCAGGUAAGAUGACAUAUGAAAAGCCCUUCUCAAGCAACUGCAAAGUUCCAAUUAAUAGAAGAAAUUGUAAUGACUAUCUGUGUUUGAAGCGGGGCCAUUUUUCUUAUUUGGAAUUUUCACGUAUUAAAAAUAUGGAUCCUUUACACCUGUAUGCCUUUACUCUCCAAAUUGAUUCAUUCUCUAGUUCCUCUAUCUCAUUACUAAGUUCAAAUAAUCAUCUUCCUACAAAUCACUCAGUUUAGAUGCCUUGAAGGCUUCUUUGAAUACUUGCUCCUGUUCACACCCGACAGUCAGUCAUCAAGCCCUGUGGAACUUGUCCCUGGUCAACAUCCGUUCUUCUCCAUUCCUACUGCCGUUCACCACACGCAGGCCCUCAUUGUCCCCUCCUGGGAUCUAUAUCCUCUCCUCAGCACCUUUUUCUUCUCUAUUGAUACCAUAGACAACUUCUCAUCUCAUAUUCUCUAAACUCAACUUUCAGGAUAUCAUACUCUUAUUCCAUAGAUCAGAACUUUCAAUGACUUUCUCCUUCUUUACAGCUCUUCAUAACAACUCUGAAGAUAGAUUCAGUCCUUCUUUUUGGAAUUGCCUCUUAUUUCUUUUUCUUUUUAUGCCCAUCAUAAACCUCCCAUUGGCAAAAUUACCAUGAACAUUUUCUUGUGAAUUCAUUGCCUUGGUUCAUUGGUUCAUGGACGGGCACCACCAUGAGCCAAUUAGAAUCUUUCCCUGAGAAUCUAGAAUCAUGGUUAAGAAGGUAUAGAUCUGCCUGAUGCUUUGUUGAAUGAAGAAAAUAUAAUGUCCCAAGGGUGGCAGCCAUUUUUCUGCCCUAUGAACUUCAAAAUGCAGAAAAUCUAUCUGGAAUGUGAAAGAAGAAGGAUAUCAAUGUAAAAACAAGAACAAUAUAGAUAAGUAGAGAGAGAAGAGAGAGUGACUCCCCAUUCUGCUUUUUUCUGAGGCCUUAAUUUUUUUUUAUUUGUCAUUGGUCUGCUAAGAUAAGUUAUCCCCCCCGCUUUUUUUUUUUUAGGAGACGACUCACUCUGUUGCCAGGCUGGAAUGCAAUGCCACAAUCUCGGCUCACCACAAUCUCCACUUCCAGGGUUUAAGCGAUUCCCUUGCUUCAGCCUCCUGAGUAGCU
RNAcentral lists this long non-coding RNA (6679 nucleotides) under Homo sapiens (human). RNAcentral's name for it is "non-protein coding LINC01370:1". The record is from RNAcentral. Lineage: Eukaryota; Metazoa; Chordata; Mammalia; Primates; Hominidae.